Molecule: ribosomal RNA, 370 nt
Filed under: uncultured microorganism
Description: bacterial SSU rRNA
Rfam family: Archaeal small subunit ribosomal RNA
Source: RNAcentral
GCGCAGCAGUCGAGAAACCUUUACAAUGUCUUCACGGACGAUAGGGGAAUCCUGAGUGCUCUAGCAUUGCUAGAGCUUUUGCUUACUGAAAAAGGUAGGCGAAUAAGUGGUGGGUAAGACGGGUGCCAGCCGCCGCGGUAAUACCCGCGCCACAAGUGGUGACCACGUUUAUUGGGUCUAAAGCGUUCGUAGCCGGCCUGAUAAAUUCUCGGUGAAAUCCUGUGUAAAUCAUAGGGCGUGCCGGGAAGACUGUCAAGCUAGGAACCGGGAGAGGCUGAGGGGUACUCCAGGAGUAGGGGUUAAAAUGCCGUUAUGGUUUAACCCUACGGUUUAACAAUCCUGUAAUUCUUGGAGGACCACCGGUGGCGAA